This is a long non-coding RNA of Scylla paramamosain (green mud crab), 1912 nucleotides long. RefSeq lists it as uncharacterized. Lineage: Eukaryota; Metazoa; Arthropoda; Malacostraca; Decapoda; Portunidae. The record is from RefSeq and is a predicted model, not a curated record. The transcript has 4 exons.
AUAAAAGGGACUGCAGUACAAACGCAUAGCUAAAUAAAUAUGUUGUAAAAACUGUGCAGCAUUGUAGGGACUUUUCCUGCCUUGAAACAAAGGAAGAGAGAAUAAGAGGCUAAUUUUGUCCUCUUUAGGCUCCAUGAUACAAGGGAAUGCAGUACAAACGCAAGUCUCAACAGUAGAGAGUCAAAACCAUCCAGCACUCAGUGACCCCAUCGCGCUGGUCAGUAGAGGACCCGAGGCCAUCAGACGCAGCGGAACCUUUCUGGGUCGUAAGGUGAUAGUCCGGGGGACGUAAAUAGCCAGACGACGCGAGGAGGAAAGUGCGGGAGACUGGAAUGAAGCGACUGGAGAGUUAUGAAGGAUGAUGCCGCCGAAGUCCCGAGCGGCUUCGAGACAAGGAAGAGAAGCUCCGCGACUCACUUGAGCCAGUCAGUCAGUGCUGUGACGCAAGGAGCAGCUUUCUCAGCGACGGGGAGCGGUGGACGGCGGAUGAAUACUUUGGCUCCCGCGCCUUCUUCUGCAUCAUGUCCGCCCGCUGACCCUGGUGGUGGGCGACGUGCGUCAGAGGAGUUGAAAAUGUAGGGGACUCGCUGCUGUGCCCUGCGUGUAGCUGUGAGGUGAAGUGCAGACGGCUGCAUUGUCUCAGCCUCGGAGGUGCCACUUGUUCAAAUUACGAAUGGUUUAAUGUUAUUUUUUGCAGGCUGUGGAAUAUUGCAGUAUCUUAUAACAAGACAAAUGAUAUAAAAAAGCAUGUAAUUUACCGAUAAGCAUUACACAACAACAUUAUUGCGGUGAUAAAAUGUACUCCUGUAAAAUGCUACGUGGCAUCGUCUCUCAGCUGUUUUCAAGGUCGCAAGGGCAGGCUACCCACCCGCCCUCCUCCCUCGCUUUGAUGAUGCCGCGUAGCAUUUUACAGAAGUACUUUUAAUCACCGCAAUAAUGUUGUCCUGUAACGCUUAUCGGUAAAUUACAUGCUUUGUAAUCCCAUUUGUCUUGUUAUAAGAUAAUGUAAUAUUAAACCAUUCGUAAUAUGACUAAGUGGCACCUCCGAGGCUGCGACAAUACAACCGUGUGUCCGUCAUUUCACAGAGCACACCCGCGAGUCCCGUACAUUUUCAAAUCCUCUGAUGGGUAAACAAAGCCUUAAAAUGCAUAUGUGCAUAGAACAUUUUCUACUUAGAAUUAAACGUUCUUUCACCUCUUUCAGUAUUUGCAGAAACUCGCGUUACACCCUGUAUAGGAAAUUAGAGACGUCGCAGUGAGCGUUUUGAUACCAGAUAGCGCCAGAAUUUUUAAUUCUCGCCGGAAAAUAAAUAUCUUUUGGGGCAAGGUUUUACAAGCUUACAAAGGUGUAUCGUUGCACAGUAAUGCGUCUGAAUUUUAAGUCAAUUAAUUUCGUGAUAACUGACAGCACAUGACAUUGUUUGAGCCUCUAUUCAUAAUUUCAGAUGAUAUUCUUAAAAGAGCCUAUAAGUGUAUCAAGGCAGGCAAUCUGUAAUUUUCUACUGACCUCAAUGGAAGUAUACUAAUAUAUACUUGCAUUUUCAUGUACUAAACAACAGGCAAAUCCAUUUAAUGUAAAGAAAAUAUAAUUUUGUAUCAGAGACUUUAUUUUUGCGGUACGAUCACUAUCCUCGGGUACUUGGGCAGCGAGCAAACCAAAACACAGGACCACGCUUACUCGACUACCCUGCACAAUGGAUACAUCACCGCCACAAUCAUGGACUACAGCGGAAUUAAGAAAAUUCCCGAAAGAACGAGCUAUACCCUAUUCUGGAUAUAGUAAAGCAAAGUAAAGGCCUUUGUAUCGGCAGAACUGAGAGGCUAUUGUUUACACUUUACACUCCUUCCUAACGGCGUGCGGCGCUUUUUUUAACUGAAGAAUCAUGAUCAAGAUAAGUACGUCGUACGUCCG